UACGUAGGGGGCAAGCGUUGUCCGGAUUUAUUGGGCGUAAAGAGCGUGUAGGCGGCCUGGUAGGUCAGUUGUGAAAACUCGAGGCUCAACCUCGAGACGCCGAUUGAAACCAUCAGGCUAGAGUCCGGAAGAGGAGAGUGGAAUUCCCGGUGUAGCGGUGAAAUGCGCAGAUAUCGGGAAGAACACCCGUGGCUAAGGCGGCUCUCUAGUACGGUACUGACGCUGAGGAGCGAAAGCGUGGGGAGCGAACAGG
This 253-nucleotide ribosomal RNA is filed under the name uncultured bacterium. RNAcentral's name for it is "partial 16S ribosomal RNA". It matches the Rfam family "Bacterial small subunit ribosomal RNA", at positions 524 to 776 of the family's 1533-position model. The record is from RNAcentral.